RNAcentral lists this microRNA precursor (99 nucleotides) under Vitis vinifera (wine grape). RNAcentral describes it as "miR166b stem-loop (vvi-MIR166b)". Its record names the gene vvi-MIR166b. The stretch from base 5 to 93 matches the Rfam family "mir-166 microRNA precursor family". Rfam says of the family: This family represents the plant microRNA (miRNA) precursor mir-166. Animal miRNAs are transcribed as ~70nt precursors and subsequently processed by the Dicer enzyme to give a ~22nt product. In plants the precursor sequences may be longer, and the carpel factory (caf) enzyme appears to be involved in processing. Lineage: Eukaryota; Viridiplantae; Streptophyta; Magnoliopsida; Vitales; Vitaceae. The record is from miRBase by way of RNAcentral.
GUUUUUUGAGGGGAAUGUUGGCUGGCUCGAGGCAUUCACAUAAGAAGAAGAUAUAUAAGUGAAGGUGUCGGACCAGGCUUCAUUCCUCUCAAAUAUACA